This is a non-coding RNA of Chromobacterium aquaticum, 54 nucleotides long. NCBI's taxonomy places the organism in Bacteria, Pseudomonadati, Pseudomonadota, Betaproteobacteria, Neisseriales, Chromobacteriaceae. The record is from Rfam.
UAGAGCAGCGGACUUUUAAUCCGUUGGUCGCAGGUUCGAAUCCCGCACGACCCA